CCCUUCACGUAUGCCGUUCGCACAGCCCUCUGCAGGCCUUUGUGCUGCACGGUCUGCCCGGCGAGAUAACUGAGUGCAUUCCAUGGUGCAUCCUCGCCUAGAAUUGAGUGGAAGCAAGUCCAUCUCAGAAGGGACAUAACUGAAGAGGGAUGGCUUUCCAGACUCUGAUGGGCAGAGAGAGCAGCAGCCUGGCAUCUCUGAGCCCGCCCUUGGUGACCUCAGAGAGAUCACCCUAGUGGCCCAGGCUAGUGACCGGGAACAUGUACCUUCCUGCAGCCAACCCCAGACGUCCACUGAUGCAUCAUAUACUGGCAAAGAUGUGAGUUCCUGUGCAUUGGUCUAACAGCAGAGACUCUGCCACAGGCCCAAGAGGUGGUGUGUGGGACAUGCAGGGGUGCAGGAGUGUAGGCAGUGCAAAAGUGUAACUGGUGACAGGGGUGCAGGGGCUG
Molecule: long non-coding RNA, 449 nt
Organism: Camelus dromedarius (Arabian camel)
Lineage: Eukaryota; Metazoa; Chordata; Mammalia; Artiodactyla; Camelidae
Exons: 3
Source: RefSeq, a predicted model, not a curated record